RNAcentral lists this ribosomal RNA (493 nucleotides) under uncultured soil bacterium. RNAcentral's name for it is "bacterial SSU rRNA". It matches the Rfam family "Bacterial small subunit ribosomal RNA", at positions 35 to 510 of the family's 1533-position model. The record is from RNAcentral.
GCUGGCGGCGUGCCUAACACAUGCAAGUCGAACGCGGUUUUCCCGCAAGGGAAAACUGAGUGGCGAACGGGUGAGUAACACGUGGGUGACCUACCUUCGAGUGGGGGAUAACGUCCCGAAAGGGACGCUAAUACCGCAUAACAUCCUGCUCUUGAACGAGCGGAGAUCAAAGCCGGGGAUCGUAAGACCUGGCGCUUGAUGAGGGGCCCGCGUCCGAUUAGCUAGUUGGUGAGGUAAUGGCUCACCAAGGCAACGAUCGGUAGCCGGCCUGAGAGGGCGGACGGCCACACUGGGACUGAGACACGGCCCAGACUCCUACGGGAGGCAGCAGUGGGGAAUUGUUCGCAAUGGGCGCAAGCCUGACGACGCAACGCCGCGUGGAGGAUGAAGGUCUUCGGAUUGUAAACUCCUGUUGCCAGGGACGAAUGGCCACGACCUAACACGUCGUGGUGUGACGGUACCUGGUGAGGAAGCCCCGGCUAACUCUGUGCCA